ACUCCUGUAGCCCAAUUGGCAGAGGCGCUGGUUUCAAACGCCAGAGGUUGUGGGUUCGACUCCCACCAGGAGUA
This 74-nucleotide transfer RNA is filed under the name Acaryochloris sp. CCMEE 5410. RNAcentral's name for it is "tRNA-Leu". It matches the Rfam family "tRNA". Rfam says of the family: Transfer RNA (tRNA) molecules are approximately 80 nucleotides in length. Their secondary structure includes four short double-helical elements and three loops (D, anti-codon, and T loops). Further hydrogen bonds mediate the characteristic L-shaped molecular structure. tRNAs have two regions of fundamental functional importance: the anti-codon, which is responsible for specific mRNA codon recognition, and the 3' end, to which the tRNAs corresponding amino acid is attached (by aminoacyl-tRNA synthetases). tRNAs cope with the degeneracy of the genetic code in two manners: having more than one tRNA (with a specific anti-codon) for a particular amino acid; and 'wobble' base-pairing, i.e. permitting non-standard base-pairing at the 3rd anti-codon position. Lineage: Bacteria; Bacillati; Cyanobacteriota; Cyanophyceae; Acaryochloridales; Acaryochloridaceae. The record is from RNAcentral.